This 854-nucleotide ribosomal RNA is filed under the name uncultured bacterium. RNAcentral describes it as "bacterial SSU rRNA". It matches the Rfam family "Bacterial small subunit ribosomal RNA", at positions 60 to 873 of the family's 1533-position model. The record is from RNAcentral.
AGUCGAGCGAGUCUGCCUUGAAGAUCGGAGUGCUUGCACUCUGUGAAACAAGAUACAGGCUGGCGGCGGACGGGUGAGUAACACGUGGGUAACCUGCCCAAGAGAUCGGGAUAACACCUGGAAACAGAUGCUAAUACCGGAUAACAACAGAUGAUGCCUAUCAACUGUUUAAAAGAUGGUUCUGCUAUCACUCUUGGAUGGACCUGCGGUGCAUUAGCUAGUUGGUAGGGUAACGGCCUACCAAGGCGAUGAUGCAUAGCCGAGUUGAGAGACUGAUCGGCCACAUUGGGACUGAGACACGGCCCAAACUCCUACGGGAGGCAGCAGUAGGGAAUCUUCCACAAUGGACGCAAGUCUGAUGGAGCAACGCCGCGUGAGUGAAGAAGGGUUUCGGCUCGUAAAGCUCUGUUGUUGGUGAAGAAGGACGGGGGUAGUAACUGACCUUUGUUUGACGGUAAUCAAUUAGGAAGUCACGGCUAACUACGUGCCAGCAGCCGCGGUAAUACGUAGGUGGCAAGCGUUGUCCGGAUUUAUUGGGCGUAAAGCGAGUGCAGGCGGUUCGAUAAGUCUGAUGUGAAAGCCUUCGGCUCAACCGGAGAAUUGCAUCAGAAACUGUCGAGCUUGAGUACAGAAGAGGAGAGUGGAACUCCAUGUGUAGCGGUGAAAUGCGUAGAUAUAUGGAAGAACACCGGUGGCGAAGGCGGCUCUCUGGUCUGUUACUGACGCUGAGGCUCGAAAGCAUGGGUAGCGAACAGGAUUAGAUACCCUGGUAGUCCAUGCCGUAAACGAUGAGUGCUAAGUGUUGGGAGGUUUCCGCCUCUCAGUGCUGCAGCUAACGCAUUAAGCACUCCGCC